RNAcentral lists this ribosomal RNA (464 nucleotides) under uncultured bacterium. Its description in RNAcentral is "partial 16S ribosomal RNA". It matches the Rfam family "Bacterial small subunit ribosomal RNA", at positions 338 to 794 of the family's 1533-position model. The record is from RNAcentral.
CCUACGGGAGGCAGCAGUAGGGAAUCUUCCACAAUGGGCGAAAGCCUGAUGGAGCAACGCCGCGUGGGUGAAGAAGGUCUUCGGAUCGUAAAACCCUGUUGUUAGAGAAGAAAGUGCGUGAGAGUAACUGUUCACGUUUCGACGGUAUCUAACCAGAAAGCCACGGCUAACUACGUGCCAGCAGCCGCGGUAAUACGUAGGUGGCAAGCGUUAUCCGGAUUUAUUGGGCGUAAAGGGAACGCAGGCGGUCUUUUAAGUCUGAUGUGAAAGCCUUCGGCUUAACCGGGGUAGUGCAUUGGAAACUGGGAGACGUGAGUGCAGAAGAGGAGAGUGGAACUCCAUGUGUAGCGGUGAAAUGCGUAGAUAUAUGGAAGAACACCAGUGGCGAAAGCGGCUCUCUGGUCUGUAACUGACGCUGAGGUUCGAAAGCGUGGGUAGCAAACAGGAUUAGAUACCCUUGUAGU